UCAAAGCCGAGACAGACAUACCCGAGACAACUCAAAGCCGAUACAGACAUACCCGAGACAACUCAAAGCUGAUACAGACAUACCCGAGACAACUCAAAGCUGAUACAGACAUACCCAUGAUGACUCAAAGCUGAUACAGACAUAAUCAACAACAAAGGCAUAUUACAAAUUAUAAACUGCGUGGUUCGAGCCCUGCAUGCAGAUUGGCUGACAGCCGUAGUAUAUCAGACCAUAUACCAUGGGUAUGACAAAACAGACAUUUUUACUUCUCUAAUUACGUUGGUAAACAGUUUAUAAUAGCGAUAAGGCACCUCGGGGGUUUGUGAGAUAUGGCCAAUGUACCACGGCUGGGGAGUGUCUCCGGGUUGUGCUGUGCCUAAGAACAGCACUUACUCGUGGUAUAUUGGCCAUAUACCACACCCCUUCAUGCCUUAUCGCUGAAGUAUUCUACAAUGUAUUGACUCACGGGUAUGAAUACUUAUGCAAAUUAGCUAUUUCUGUAUUUACAUUUUUUAAAUAAAUUUCCCACAAUUUCUAAAAAACAUUUUUCACUUUGUCAUUAUGAGGUAUUGUGUGGUAAAUAAGGGUGAGAGAAAAAAAUUGAAUCCAUUUUGAAUUCAGGCUGUAACACAACAAAAUGUUGAUUAAGUCAAGGGGUAUGAAUACUUUCUGAAGGCACUAUGUAGUGCUUAUGAAUCUUUCUGUAAGCUAUAAGAAGCCUUUAUGCAUGCUAUAUGAAGGCUCAUAAGGUGUUUUUCAUUUCACACUUUUUUAUAGUAGAUUUAAUGUCAUUGCACUCGCUACAGCCGAUAGGAUUUAGGUGUCCAUAUUUAUUAAACAUUGAUAUAUUCUGUUUAGAUUCAGUUUGAUAUAUUCUGAUUAUAUUACAUUAUACCAUGACAUUGUUGAAUACUGCUUUCUGAUUGGCUUGAAGGGCAUUCAUUAAUUCCCUAUUACGCACUGUAUAUUUGCACGGUAGAAUUAAAUGGCUAUAAUUCUUACAUGUUAUGUGUUUCAGUUGCUUUUGAAAGCUAAAGUUGAAUUGGAAAACAUUGUCAUUGUUGAAUUAGAUUUUCACAAUGGCAAGCUAAGGACUCAUAGUUUGUUUAGCUAAACUUGCAAGUCAUUUUGUACGGUUACCAAAUAUUCAGUAAUUUCUAGCGACAAAUGUGUUAAAUUAUAGCCAUGGUAUGAAAGGAAUAAUCAACUUUAACGUUGUUCAUUCAGUGACUCAUUUCAUUUCACUUCUGCUGUGUGGAACUCUCUCUCUCUGUCUGAUGAUAUAGAUAUAUAUACUCGUUUCAGCUCUCAUGUUCCCCUGGAACUCUGUCUGACAUAACUAGUUAUUUAUAUAUAUUUAUAUAUAGAGAGAGAGUUUCCUUUCUCCCAUGCUGUUUGUGCGUGACCGUGUGUUGUACGAGUGUAUUUGCGUUUCGUAGUAGCAGAUUUAAACCCAGUAAACACACAAAAGAAUUUGCUCAAGCUGAUGACCUAAAUUUCCAUGCCGUGCUCUACUACCCUGUCCCAUAUCAGAUGAGGCACAAGUUAUUAAUACAUUUACUCUGGAUGUGCCACGUUCUCUGCAUACAUUUAGUUGUUGUUGUUGUUGUUCUACACAACGUUAAGAUAUGGUUGAAAUAUUUUGUAUUUUAUAUUUCCUGAUUAACUCUAAUCCUAUUUCUAGGAUUUAUUUAGGGAAACUUGGUGAAUGGUGUAAGUCUAUUUAUAAGCAUCUUAUGGGCUGCGCACUCAAAGACCAAUUUUCUCUCCAAGGUAUUUUGUCUUGGCUGACUUGGUGGAAACUUCUCAGGUGUAGAGUUAAAUGCUAAGUACUAGUUGAUGUAGUGUUUAAUGUGGUGUGUGUGUGGUUGUUAGUAUUUGAUUAGUUUAAGAUAAUCAAGGCUGAGAGGAGGUCUCCAUUUGAAAGGUUACACUUGGAUCAGACCAAACGGUCAGACAUGAUGGGGUCUGGGAUGGAAUUGUGGCAUGGGUGUGUUGAUUAUCUCUUUUACCCACAAUGUUUCAUUUACCAGCCAAAUAUUUCUAUUUAAAAUUAUUAUUAUUUUAAUUUCCUUUGGUGCAAUUUUUACAACUACAUUAUGAAACAUAUUCACCACAAUCAAAUCAGAUCAUAAAAAUGGAU
Molecule: long non-coding RNA, 2143 nt
Organism: Oncorhynchus tshawytscha (Chinook salmon)
Lineage: Eukaryota; Metazoa; Chordata; Actinopteri; Salmoniformes; Salmonidae
Source: Ensembl